GUAUUACCGCGGCUGCUGGCACGAAGUUAGCCGGUGCUUAUUCUGUCGGUAACGUCAAAACAGCAAGGUAUUAGCUUACUGCCCUUCCUCCCAACUUAAAGUGCUUUACAAUCCGAAGACCUUCUUCACACACGCGGCAUGGCUGGAUCAGGCUUUCGCCCAUUGUCCAAUAUUCCCCACUGCUGCCUCCCGUAG
This 195-nucleotide ribosomal RNA is filed under the name uncultured Pseudomonas sp. RNAcentral describes it as "partial 16S ribosomal RNA". The record is from RNAcentral. Lineage: Bacteria; Pseudomonadati; Pseudomonadota; Gammaproteobacteria; Pseudomonadales; Pseudomonadaceae.